This 419-nucleotide ribosomal RNA is filed under the name uncultured Prevotella sp. RNAcentral describes it as "bacterial SSU rRNA". It matches the Rfam family "Bacterial small subunit ribosomal RNA", at positions 358 to 774 of the family's 1533-position model. The record is from RNAcentral. Lineage: Bacteria; Pseudomonadati; Bacteroidota; Bacteroidia; Bacteroidales; Prevotellaceae.
GGAAUAUUGGUCAAUGGGCGAGAGCCUGAACCAGCCAAGUAGCGUGCAGGAUGACGGCCCUAUGGGUUGUAAACUGCUUUUAUCGGGGGAUAAAGUGAGGGACGCGUCCCUUUUUGUAGGUACCCGAUGAAUAAGGACCGGCUAAUUCCGUGCCAGCAGCCGCGGUAAUACGGAAGGUCCGGGCGUUAUCCGGAUUUAUUGGGUUUAAAGGGAGCGCAGGCCGAUGGUUAAGCGUGACGUGAAAUGUAGCCGCUCAACGGCUGAACUGCGUCGCGAACUGGCCGUCUUGAGUGAGUUCGAUGUGGGCGGAAUUCGUGGUGUAGCGGUGAAAUGCUUAGAUAUCACGAAGAACUCCGAUUGCGAAGGCAGCCCACAAGGCCUUUACUGACGCUAAAGCUCGAAGGUGCGGGUAUCGAACA